RNAcentral lists this ribosomal RNA (497 nucleotides) under uncultured bacterium. RNAcentral describes it as "partial 16S ribosomal RNA". It matches the Rfam family "Bacterial small subunit ribosomal RNA", at positions 28 to 507 of the family's 1533-position model. The record is from RNAcentral.
GAUGAACGCUGGCGGCGUGCCUAAUACAUGCAAGUUGAGCGAUCAGACUUGGUGCUUGCUCCUCUUUCAUUAGCGGCGAACGGGUGAGUAACACGUGGAUAACCUACCUUUAAGCCUGGGAUAACUUCUGGAAACGGGUGCUAAUACCGCAUAACAUCUUUAACCAUAUGUUUUAAUAUUGAAAGAUGCUUUUGCUUCCCUUUAUAGUUGUAUCCGCGUCGCAUUAGCUAGUUGGUAAGGUAACGGCUUACCAAGGCAACGAUGCGUAGCCGACGUGAGAGGGUGAUGGGCAACACGGGAACUGAGACACGGUCAAGAUUCCAAGGGGAGGCGCAAGUAGGGAAUCUUCCGAAAGGGGCGAAAGCCUGACGGAGAAACGCGGGGUGAGUGAGGAAGGUCUUCGGAUCGAAAAACUUUGUUAUAAGGGAAGAAGAAAGGUGGAAGGAAAUAUGCACGAAGUGACGGUACCUAAUCAGAAAGCCACGGCUAACUACGUG